ACCCUCCCUACCCCCCAGCAUUAGGUUGAGACUGUGGGGAAGUGCUGGGGGUUGGGAGGUAGCCGAGGAAUGGGGCAGUUCCCGGGGGCAUUGAAACCAAGUAUUAUUAUGAAUUGUAAUUGUAUUUGCACUGUUUUUUUUCUCUGAUUGCAUCAGCAUAUAUACAAUAUACCUAUAUAACAAAAUUCAGUGUCAAGCUUUCUUAUGCAAGGGAUUUCCCCACCCCAAAAAAAUAACCUAGUUUCAUGGGCCUUUGAGGGUGGAUUAUCAGGGGAUGAUAGAAAUAAUUUCAACAAGUCAUCCUAAGAAAGUCUCCCUUAGGGGAGAGCCAUAUCCAUCUGUGCACAGUUUUAGGGUUUGCAAAUUGGGGUGAGGCUGGGUUACUGCAAAAGCUGAGACUCCUAGUCCAGACUGUGGAGAGUAAAGAGAACCACAGCAUAAAGCGGGUGGGAUGGUGUCACAGUCUGGAGACCCGGGGUUUAGUCUCAAGCUUUCCUGCUGACUUGUUAUGUGACCUUCUUGAUAGAGCUGAUUUUUGGGAUCUCAGUUUUAUUUGUGAAGUGAUGGCAGGAGGGGAGAUCCUCUAGCCACCAAGUUUGUAAAGCUUUCUUCCCCACCUGAAAACAAAACAAGUUGAGGGGAGGAAAGUGUUGGGCUGAAAAACCAGGGAGGAAACCAGAGUGGCUAGUGUUGAAGUGGGUAUGUGUGUGACGGUGCCCUUGGAGAGCUGCCAGGCCCCUGCUGUUCCUUUUGGUUUAGGAAGGGCAGCAGAGUGAUGUUUCGAACUUCACUUAAAUCUGGGACAUACUUGCCCUCAUGCUCUAGUUACCCAAGGGCAGGAACCAGGCCCCAAGCCCCACCUCACAAGCAACUGCCCUCAAGGGUGGUUGACCAAUGAAUACCCCAGGUUGGUGGUCACUCACACCCUUUGUGAGCUACAGAAUGCAGAUUUUUCCCCCAUUUCUUGGUUGGAGAGCUCAGAUACAGUCCACAUCUUGUCUCCUUCCCUCAGAUAUCAUCUGAACCCCCUUAAAGGCAGCUCUCUCAACAGCUAUUUCCUUCAGGGGCCCAGUUCCCCCACAGCCUGGGCUGAGUACUCCCACUGUAGGUUCUUGGCUGGUAAAGCCUGGAGAGGAUAUAGGAUGGUGGGGAAGCCCUGGUGAAGGUGGAAGGAUAGAUUGGUGGUGGG
This is a long non-coding RNA of Bos taurus (domestic cattle), 1189 nucleotides long. The record is from Ensembl. NCBI's taxonomy places the organism in Eukaryota, Metazoa, Chordata, Mammalia, Artiodactyla, Bovidae.